AGCUGGCUGGUCCCAUGAGGUGACUUCUGCCCAGUGCUCUGAUUGUCAAUGCGAAGAGAUUCAGCCAAGCGCGGGUAAACGGCGGGAGUAACUAUGACUCUCUUAAGGUAGCCAAAUGCCUCGUCAACCAAUUAUUGACGCGCAUGAAUGGAUCAACGAGAUUCCUGCUGUCCCUAGUUGCUGUCUGGUGAACCAACAGCCAAGGGAACGGGCUUGGAUGUGUCAGCGGGGAAAGAAGACCCUGUUGAGUUUGACUCUAGUUUGAUGCUGUGCAGCGACAUGUUGGGUGUAGCACAGGUGGGAGGCAAGUGCCUUGGACAGAACUGUGAAGUUGGCUCUUCCUAGCUCUGCACUUGUGCAGUAAGCUGUGGAAUCAGGGAUAACUGGAGAAACAGCAAAAAAAGGCCAGUGGCCUUCAGAGAGAGAGUGGUGCAAGUCAGCAGUGAAAUACCACUACCUUCACCGUCACUUUACUCAUUGAGUUGCCUGGGAACAGCGGCCCUUGAUAUGGGCCUCCUCAAGCCUGGGGGGGCCCUGGCCAAUCACUGCUUCGUGCGCAAAGUGUGGUUUGCCCACAUGACCCUGGAGCUGCAUUCCAAUCAGAAGCCUCAAGACAUCGAUCAGUUGGGGAGUUUGGCUGGGGCGGCACGCCUGUUACAAGACAACGCAGGCGUCCUGAAGCAAUGCUCAGAUGGAACAGAAAUCUCCCAUGGAGGAGAAGGCCAAAGGUGCUGCUGAUGGCGUGACUCUCAGUACGAGUCCAGAAUGUGAAAGCAUGGCCUUACGAUCCUUUGGUUAAGUGCACGAGUUUGGGAUAUUGAAGCCAGAGGUGUCAGAAAAAUUACCACAGGGAUAACUGGCUUGUGGCAGCCAAGCGUUCAAAGCGACGUUGCUUUUUGAUCCUUCGAUGUCGGCUCUUCCUAGCUUGCCACCCGCAGCCGAGUGCAAGAGUUGGAUUGUUCACCCACCAACAGGGAACGUGA
This 983-nucleotide ribosomal RNA is filed under the name Trachelomonas oblonga. Its description in RNAcentral is "LSU rRNA". It matches the Rfam family "Eukaryotic large subunit ribosomal RNA", at positions 2172 to 2955 of the family's 3401-position model. Lineage: Eukaryota; Euglenozoa; Euglenophyceae; Euglenales; Euglenaceae. The record is from RNAcentral.